RNAcentral lists this ribosomal RNA (795 nucleotides) under uncultured bacterium. RNAcentral describes it as "bacterial SSU rRNA". It matches the Rfam family "Bacterial small subunit ribosomal RNA", at positions 8 to 796 of the family's 1533-position model. The record is from RNAcentral.
AGAGUUUGAUCAUGGCUCAGAUUGAACGCUGGCGGCGUGCCUAACACAUGCAAGUCGAGCGGUAACAGGUGUAGCAAUACAUGCUGACGAGCGGCGAACGGGUGAGUAAUGCUUCGGAAUCUGCCCAAUGGUGGGGAAUAACCAGCCGAAAGGUUGGCUAAUACCGCAUAAGUCCUACGGGAGAAAGCAGGGGAUCGCAAGACCUUGCGCCGAUGGAUGAGCCGAAGUCGGAUUAGCUAGUUGGUAGGGUAACGGCCUACCAAGGCGACGAUCCGUAGCUGGUCUGAGAGGACGACCAGCCACACUGGGACUGAGACACGGCCCAGACUCCUACGGGAGGCAGCAGUGGGGAAUAUUGGACAAUGGGGGAAACCCUGAUCCAGCGACGCCGCGUGUGUGAAGAAGGCCUGCGGGUUGUAAAGCACUUUUAGUGGGGAUGAAAAGCUCAGGGCUAACACCUCUGGGUCUUGACCUAACCCACAGAAAAAGCACCGGCUAACUCUGUGCCAGCAGCCGCGGUAAUACAGAGGGUGCAAGCGUUAAUCGGAAUUACUGGGCGUAAAGCGUGCGUAGACGGUUAUGUAAGUCGGGUGUGAAAGCCCCGGGCUCAACCUGGGAAUGCCAUUCGAGACUGCAUAGCUAGGGUGCGGAAGAGGGAAGCGGAAUUUCAGGUGUAGCGGUGAAAUGCGUAGAUAUCUGAAGGAACACCAGUGGCGAAAGCGGCUUCCUGGUCCAGCACCGACGUUCAGGCACGAAAGCGUGGGGAGCAAACAGGAUUAGAUACCCUAGUAGUCC